GUUAGGAAUAUUGGACAAUGGGCGAAAGCCUGAUCCAGCCAUGCCGCGUGAACGAUGAAGGCCUUCGGGUUGUAAAGUUCUUUAGCCGAUGAUUAUAAUGACUGUAGUCGGAAAAUAAGCCCCGGCUAACUUCGUGCCAGCAGCCGCGGUAAUACGAAGGGGGCGAGCGUUAUUCGGAAUCACUGGGCGUAAAGCGUGCGUAGGCGGUUUGGUAAGUUAGGAGUGAAAGCCCAGGGCUCAACCUUGGAAUUGCUCUUAAAACUGCAAGGCUCGAAUCUCGGAGAGGAUAGCGGAAUUUCCAGUGUAGCAGUGAAAUGCGUAGAUAUUGGAAGGAACACCAGUGGCGUAAGCGGCUAUCUGGACGAGUAUUGACGCUGAGGCACGAAAGCGUGGGGAUCAAACAGGAUUAGAUACCCGUGUAGUCC
This 425-nucleotide ribosomal RNA is filed under the name uncultured bacterium. RNAcentral's name for it is "partial 16S ribosomal RNA". It matches the Rfam family "Bacterial small subunit ribosomal RNA", at positions 354 to 796 of the family's 1533-position model. The record is from RNAcentral.